GGUUAAGCGACUAAGCGUACACGGUGGAUGCCCUGGCAGUCAGAGGCGAUGAAGGGCGUGCUAAUCUGCGAUAAGCGCCGGUAAGGUGAUAUGAACCGUUAUAACCGGCGAUACCCGAAUGGGGAAACCCAGUGUGACUCGUCACACUAUCAUUAACUGAAUCCAUAGGUUAAUGAGGCGAACCGGGGGAACUGAAACAUCUAAGUACCCCGAGGAAAAGAAAUCAACCGAGAUUCCCCCAGUAGCGGCGAGCGAACGGGGAGGAGCCCAGAGCCUGAAUCAGCAUGUGUGUUAGUGGAAGCGUCUGGAAAGGCGCGCGAUACAGGGUGACAGCCCCGUACACAAAAGCGCAUGUGCUGUGAGCUCGAUGAGUAGGGCGGGACACGUGGUAUCCUGUCUGAAUAUGGGGGGACCAUCCUCCAAGGCUAAAUACUCCUGACUGACCGAUAGUGAACCAGUACCGUGAGGGAAAGGCGAAAAGAACCCCGGCGAGGGGAGUGAAAAAGAACCUGAAACCGUGUACGUACAAGCAGUGGGAGCACCCUUUGGGGUGUGACUGCGUACCUUUUGUAUAAUGGGUCAGCGACUUAUAUUCUGUAGCAAGGUUAACCGAAUAGGGGAGCCGGAGGGAAACCGAGUCUUAAUUGGGCGUUAAGUUGCAGGGUAUAGACCCGAAACCCGGUGAUCUAGCCAUGGGCAGGUUGAAGGUUGGGUAACACUAACUGGAGGACCGAACCGACUAAUGUUGAAAAAUUAGCGGAUGACCUGUGGCUGGGGGUGAAAGGCCAAUCAAACCGGGAGAUAGCUGGUUCUCCCCGAAAGCUAUUUAGGUAGCGCCUCGUGAACUCAUCUCCGGGGGUAGAGCACUGUUUCGGCUAGGGGGCCAUCCCGGCUUACCAACCCGAUGCAAACUGCGAAUACCGGAGAAUGUUAUCACGGGAGACACACGGCGGGUGCUAACGUCCGUCGUGAAGAGGGAAACAACCCAGACCGCCAGCUAAGGUCCCAAAGUCAUGGUUAAGUGGGAAACGAUGUGGGAAGGCCCAGACAGCCAGGAUGUUGGCUUAGAAGCAGCCAUCAUUUAAAGAAAGCGUAAUAGCUCACUGGUCGAGUCGGCCUGCGCGGAAGAUGUAACGGGGCUAAACCAUGCACCGAAGCUGCGGCAGCGACGCUUAUGCGUUGUUGGGUAGGGGAGCGUUCUGUAAGCCUGCGAAGGUGGCCUGUGAGGGUUGCUGGAGGUAUCAGAAGUGCGAAUGCUGACAUAAGUAACGAUAAAGCGGGUGAAAAGCCCGCUCGCCGGAAGACCAAGGGUUCCUGUCCAACGUUAAUCGGGGCAGGGUGAGUCGACCCCUAAGGCGAGGCCGAAAGGCGUAGUCGAUGGGAAACGGGUUAAUAUUCCCGUACUUGGUGUUACUGCGAAGGGGGGACGGAGAAGGCUAUGUUGGCCGGGCGACGGUUGUCCCGGUUUAAGCGUGUAGGUGUGUGUUCCAGGUAAAUCCGGUUCACUUUAACACUGAGGCGUGACGACGAGGCACUACGGUGCUGAAGCAACAAAUGCCCUGCUUCCAGGAAAAGCCUCUAAGCAUCAGGUAACAUCAAAUCGUACCCCAAACCGACACAGGUGGUCAGGUAGAGAAUACCAAGGCGCUUGAGAGAACUCGGGUGAAGGAACUAGGCAAAAUGGUGCCGUAACUUCGGGAGAAGGCACGCUGACACGUAGGUGAAGUGAUUUACUCAUGGAGCUGAAGUCAGUCGAAGAUACCAGCUGGCUGCAACUGUUUAUUAAAAACACAGCACUGUGCAAACACGAAAGUGGACGUAUACGGUGUGACGCCUGCCCGGUGCCGGAAGGUUAAUUGAUGGGGUCAGCGCAAGCGAAGCUCCUGAUCGAAGCCCCGGUAAACGGCGGCCGUAACUAUAACGGUCCUAAGGUAGCGAAAUUCCUUGUCGGGUAAGUUCCGACCUGCACGAAUGGCGUAAUGAUGGCCAGGCUGUCUCCACCCGAGACUCAGUGAAAUUGAACUCGCUGUGAAGAUGCAGUGUACCCGCGGCAAGACGGAAAGACCCCGUGAACCUUUACUAUAGCUUGACACUGAACAUUGAGCCUUGAUGUGUAGGAUAGGUGGGAGGCUUUGAAGUGUGGACGCCAGUCUGCAUGGAGCCGACCUUGAAAUACCACCCUUUAAUGUUUGAUGUUCUAACGUGGACCCGUAAUCCGGGUUGCGGACAGUGUCUGGUGGGUAGUUUGACUGGGGCGGUCUCCUCCUAAAGAGUAACGGAGGAGCACGAAGGUUGGCUAAUCCUGGUCGGACAUCAGGAGGUUAGUGCAAUGGCAUAAGCCAGCUUGACUGCGAGCGUGACGGCGCGAGCAGGUGCGAAAGCAGGUCAUAGUGAUCCGGUGGUUCUGAAUGGAAGGGCCAUCGCUCAACGGAUAAAAGGUACUCCGGGGAUAACAGGCUGAUACCGCCCAAGAGUUCAUAUCGACGGCGGUGUUUGGCACCUCGAUGUCGGCUCAUCACAUCCUGGGGCUGAAGUAGGUCCCAAGGGUAUGGCUGUUCGCCAUUUAAAGUGGUACGCGAGCUGGGUUUAGAACGUCGUGAGACAGUUCGGUCCCUAUCUGCCGUGGGCGCUGGAGAACUGAGGGGGGCUGCUCCUAGUACGAGAGGACCGGAGUGGACGCAUCACUGGUGUUCGGGUUGUCAUGCCAAUGGCACUGCCCGGUAGCUAAAUGCGGAAGAGAUAAGUGCUGAAAGCAUCUAAGCACGAAACUUGCCCCGAGAUGAGUUCUCCCUGAGACUUAGAGUCUCCUGAAGGAACGUUGAAGACGACGACGUUGAUAGGCCGGGUGUGUAAGCGCAGCGAUGCGUUGAGCUAACCGGUACUAAUGAACCGUGAGGCUUAACCUU
RNAcentral lists this ribosomal RNA (2906 nucleotides) under Salmonella enterica. Its description in RNAcentral is "23S ribosomal RNA". It matches the Rfam family "Bacterial large subunit ribosomal RNA". The record is from RNAcentral. Lineage: Bacteria; Pseudomonadati; Pseudomonadota; Gammaproteobacteria; Enterobacterales; Enterobacteriaceae.